CCAAGCGAUGGGGUGACGCAGGAAGGUAGCUGGGCCAGUCAGUGGUUGUACUGGUGUAAGAGUGUAGGCCGUGACAUAGGCAAAUCCGUGUCACAUUAAGGCUGAGACUUGAUGCAUACCCGUUGUGGGGAAUUCAGUGAUCCUAUGCUGCCGAGAAAAGCCUCUAGUGAGUUCAUACACGGCCCGUACCCCAAACCGACACAGGUGAUCAGGUAGUGAAUACCAAGGCGAUCGAGAGAACUGUGGUUAAGGAACUCGGCAAAAUGCCCCCGUAACUUCGGGAGAAGGGGGACCAUGCCCGGUGAACAUCUUCACGGUGGGAGCUGGGUGUGGUCGCAGAGACCAGAGAGAAGCGACUGUUUACUAAAAACACAGGUCCGUGCGAAGACGUAAGUCGAUGUAUACGGACUGACGCCUGCCCGGUGCUGGAAGGUUAAGAGGACCGGUUAGCCGUAAGGCGAAGCUGAGAAUUUAAGCCCCAGUAAACGGCGGUGGUAACUAUAACCAUCCUAAGGUAGCGAAAUUCCUUGUCGGGUAAGUUCCGACCUGCACGAAUGGCGUAACGACUUCUCUGCUGUCUCGACCACAGACUCGGCGAAAUUGCACUACGAGUAAAGAUGCUCGUUACGCGCGGCAGGACGAAAAGACCCCGGGACCUUUACUAUAGCUUGGUAUUGGCGUUCGAUUCGGUUUGUGUAGGAUAGGUGGGAGACUGUGAAGCAUGCACGCCAGUGUGUGUGGAGUCGUUGUUGAAAUACCACUCUGAUCGUAUUGGACGUCUAACCUCGGCCCAUGAUCUGGGUUAGGGACAGUGCCUGGUGGGUAGUUUAACUGGGGCGGUUGCCUCCUAAAGAGUAACGGAGGCGCCCAAAGGUUCCCUCAGCCUGGAUGGCAAUCAGGUGUUGAGUGCAAGUGCACAAGGGAGCUUGACUGUGAGACUGACACGUCGAGCAGGGACGAAAGUCGGGACUAGUGAUCCGGCACCGGCAAGUGGAAGCGGUGUCGCUCAACGGAUAAAAGGUACCCCGGGGAUAACAGGCUGAUCUUCCCCAAGAGUCCAUAUCGACGGGAUGGUUUGGCACCUCGAUGUCGGCUCGUCGCAUCCUGGGGCUGGAGUAGGUCCCAAGGGUUGGGCUGUUCGCCCAUUAAAGCGGCACGCGAGCUGGGUUUAGAACGUCGUGAGACAGUUCGGUCUCUAUCCGCCGCGCGCGUAAGAAACUUGAGGAAGGCUGUCCCUAGUACGAGAGGACCGGGACGGACGAACCUCUGGUGUGCCAGUUGUUCCACCAGGAGCAUGGCUGGUUAGCUACGUUCGGAAGGGAUAACCGCUGAAAGCAUCUAAGCGGGAAGCCUGUUCCAAGAUGAGGUUUCUCACCACCUUGCGUGGUUAAGGCCCCCUACAGACCAUGGGGUUGAUAGGCCGGAACUGGAAGCGCAGCAAUGCGUGGAGGUGACCGGUACUAAUAGGCCGAGGGCUUG
RNAcentral lists this ribosomal RNA (1479 nucleotides) under metagenome. RNAcentral's name for it is "bacterial LSU rRNA". It matches the Rfam family "Bacterial large subunit ribosomal RNA", at positions 1457 to 2925 of the family's 2925-position model. The record is from RNAcentral.